ACUACUAGACUAGAGUCUGGGAGAGGAAAAUGGAAUUAGUUGUGUAGGGGUAAAAUCCGUAGAGAUAACUAGGAAUACCAAAAGCGAAGGCAAUUUUCUGGAACAGUACUGACGCUCAGAUGCGAAAGCGUGGGUAGCAAACAGGAUUAGAUACCCUGGUAGUCCACGCCCUAAACGAUGAAUGUUAGUCGUCGGGAGGCUCGUCCUUUCGGUGAUGCGGCUAACGCAUUAAACAUUCCGCCUGGGGAGUACGGUCGCAAGAUUAAAACUCAAAGGAAUAGACGGGGACCCGCACAAGUGGUGGAGCAUGUGGUUUAAUUCGAAGAUACGCGAAGAACCUUACCUAGCCUUGACAUUGAUAGAAUCCGAUGGAAACAUUGGAGUGCCAGUUUACUGGAGCUUGAAAACAGGUGCUGCACGGCUGUCGUCAGCUCGUGUCGUGAGAUGUUGGGUUAAGUCCCGCAACGAGCGCAACCCUCGUUCUUAGUUACUAACGGUUCGGCCGAGGACUCUAAGAAGACUGCCUUCGCAAGGAGGAGGAAGGUGAGGACGACGUCGAGUCAUCAUGGCCCUUACGGCCAGGGCGACACACGUGCUACAAUGGGUAGGACAAUGAGACGCGAUACCGCGAGGUGGAGCAAAUCUAUAAACCUACUCUCAGUUCGGAUUGCACUCUGCAACUCGAGUGCAUGAAGCUGGAAUCACUAGUAAUCGUAGAUCAGCCAUGCUACGGUGAAUACGUUCCCGGGUCUUGUACUCACCGCCCGUCACACCAUGGGAGUUGAUUUCACCCGAAGCGGGGAAGCUAAACUGGCUACCCUCCACGGUGGAAUCAGCGACUGGGGUGAAGUCGUAACAAGGUAACC
This 866-nucleotide ribosomal RNA is filed under the name uncultured Campylobacterota bacterium. RNAcentral describes it as "bacterial SSU rRNA". It matches the Rfam family "Bacterial small subunit ribosomal RNA", at positions 632 to 1501 of the family's 1533-position model. Lineage: Bacteria; Pseudomonadati; Campylobacterota. The record is from RNAcentral.